This 236-nucleotide ribosomal RNA is filed under the name uncultured soil bacterium. RNAcentral describes it as "partial 16S ribosomal RNA". It matches the Rfam family "Bacterial small subunit ribosomal RNA", at positions 26 to 262 of the family's 1533-position model. The record is from RNAcentral.
AGAUUGAACGCUGGCGGCAGGCCUAACACAUGCAAGUCGAGCGGCAGCACGGGUACUUGUACCUGGUGGCGAGCGGCGGACGGGUGAGUAAUGCCUAGGAAUCUGCCUGGUAGUGGGGGAUAACGCUCGGAAACGGACGCUAAUACCGCAUACGUCCUACGGGAGAAAGCAGGGGACCUUCGGGCCUUGCGCUAUCAGAUGAGCCUAGGUCGGAUUAGCUAGUUGGUGGGUAAGUA